This is a long non-coding RNA of Drosophila novamexicana, 242 nucleotides long. RefSeq lists it as uncharacterized. Lineage: Eukaryota; Metazoa; Arthropoda; Insecta; Diptera; Drosophilidae. The record is from RefSeq and is a predicted model, not a curated record. The transcript is spliced from 2 exons.
CAAGAACAACACUAUAACAAGCGACACACAUUGGAAAUGCUACACAUAAUUAACACACCAACCAACAAACGACUAAACUACAAGACAGACACAGAAAAUUGCGCUCACUUGUACAGACACCUCUUAAACAGCCAAACAACCUCAGUAACAAUCUCCACGUCAAAAAGCGCAGACGUGUAAAAUAAUUGCCCUGAAGACGGUUUGCCGAUGUGCAACCGAAAUAUAUCGGAAGAAAAUUAAAA